ACACUGUUAAUAUAGUUUUUAUUAGUUCCAUCUAUUCCAGACUGCACUUGCAAAUGUAAGAGAAAGCACAAUUAGCUUCCACCAAGUUCUUCCAUUUCAGUUAAAUUUGAAUGAGUAUACAUCUUUGUUUCAAUGUAUAUGCAGUUAUCACCCCACUUUUAUUAUGCAGCCUUUUUCUUGUUGGCCAAAAGUAAUUUAAAACAAAGUAAUAAUAAUAGUAGUAGUAUAGUGUUGAUUAGCAACUUCUUUCUUCUGCUUUAUAAACACUUUAUAACACAUGAAACAUUAAUGCAGAAUUUUAAAGGAUGAAUUUUUAAAUGAAAUUGUGUUAAGGAAAGUUUAAAAAAAAACAACCAUCAAAUAGAGAAUAAUAAAUAUCACUUUAUUGAACAUGCAGUCCACAGACUAGUGUGAUCUGAUGUUAAUCACAUUAUUUUAAAAUAGUUUGAUGCAGCCAUUGAUCAACUGUGCAGUACUAUUUGUAAGAGUAUUCAUGUAAAAGAGAAAGCCUCUGUUUUUAGUUUGAGAAUAAAUUCAAGUAGUGAAAGAUGGUCUCUGUUUAUUGUUAGAUAUUAAUGUAAGCUGCUUAUUUCAUUAACUUGGUUGAAUUUUAAUCUUUCUGCAUCUACAAAGGAAGUGUACAUACAUGAUUUGCUUGCUUAUUGUAUUAAAAUAAAUAAAUGUCCAUUGAUUUUUAC
Biomphalaria pfeifferi is the source of this 698-nucleotide non-coding RNA. Lineage: Eukaryota; Metazoa; Mollusca; Gastropoda; Planorbidae. The record is from the annotation of a GenBank genome assembly.